GCCGACGUAGCUUAGCUGGUAGAGCAGCGGUUUUGUAAACCGCAGGUCGUAGGUUCAAAUCCUACCGUCGGCU
Molecule: transfer RNA, 73 nt
Filed under: Candidatus Endomicrobiellum guadaloupense
Lineage: Bacteria; Pseudomonadati; Elusimicrobiota; Endomicrobiia; Endomicrobiales; Endomicrobiaceae
Also listed under: 1 other name
Description: tRNA-Thr
Rfam family: tRNA
About the family: Transfer RNA (tRNA) molecules are approximately 80 nucleotides in length.
Source: RNAcentral